This 309-nucleotide ribosomal RNA is filed under the name uncultured eukaryote. RNAcentral describes it as "partial 18S ribosomal RNA". It matches the Rfam family "Eukaryotic small subunit ribosomal RNA", at positions 1470 to 1796 of the family's 1831-position model. The record is from RNAcentral.
CCCUUAGAUGUUCUGGGCGGCCCGCGCACUACAAUUGCGUGUGCAGCGAGUGCCGAAGUAGAGUUUUCCGAGGUAUUCUUGCAAUGCUCGUUUUGAUGGGGAUAGACCCUUGCAACUGUUGGUUUUGAACGAGGAAUUCCUUGUAAGCAUGGUUUAUCAUCCGACGCUGAAUGCGUCCCUGCCCUUUGUACACACCGCCCGUCGCUCCUACCGAUGAGUCGUCCGGUGAAGUUCGUAGACCUCGUGAUCGCGGAUCACUGGGGGAAGCAAAAUGAACCUCGCGGUUUAGAGGAAGGAGAAGUCGUAACA